CUCUCUGCAUUCAGAGGAAGAAGGGCCUGGCUGCAGGGAACUGAGAUAAGGUGAGCGAUCUGGUUCAAGUUCCUGCUCCAUAUCAGGCAGAAGGGGAAUUUGAACCUGAUCUCCCACAUCCCAGGAAUUUUGCAUUGGAGAGGAUAAAUGUGAUAGAAACAGAUGAACUAAUUUUGCAGAGAAUUCUUUGAGCUACCACAUUAAGCCGCAAACUGCAUGGUAUGAUGAGAGAGACUAGGAGACUAGCAACAAUGCUGUAGUACCCAAAAGAAGAUGCAAACCAAGAACUACAGACAAAACUGACCCUGUUUGUAUUUCCUGCUGUAAUUCUUGCUGAUGAGAAGAUGGCUGUUAACAGUGAAGAAGAUGACUGAUCCUGCUGGCUGCUGGAAGUUUUGUUUUAAUUGUUGGAUUGCUCUAUUAUUUGUAAGUCCCUUAUUGUCUAAGAAUGGAUACAUCAAUUUUCCAAAGAAAAAAAGUUUAAGGACAUUCUAAUAAGGUUGCAAGUUUGUAAAGUACAAUGCAUAUCAAUGACAAGAUAAAUAACUAACAGCAGCACAACAACAUUUUCUGAUAUGUAUGCUCCUCCGACAUACAUCUUUGCUGGUUCAAAGCCAGGUUCUAAGUCCUUCAGUCUCCCUAUAUGUAUUUUAUUUAGAGCGCCCCCCCCCCACUCUAUCUGUAUGAAUACAUGUAUUACCCUCUCUUUAAGAGACAGCUAAGGAACUGCAGCCCCAUCUAAUAGAAUCGUUCAUAAUUGGGAAAGUUAUGAAACCAAAGUAGCGUAUUUGUACUCUGGGUCAGUAGCAAUGCACAAAAGCUCAGCUGAAUCAAGAGUAUAUUGCAGCUGUCAAGAAGUCAGGCAGGUACUGUUCCUCUGAGCAUAUAUAUGGCCUAACUGUAGUUCAUCCUAAUGAAUUAUAGUGUGUUUUUACUAGAACAUAUGAAAAAGGUAUCUGAAGCCACCUCAGAAAUAUACUGUGAUUUUAAAAAGUGAUGUAAUCAAUUUAAGCUUGCCUCUCCCACAAAAGUCACAUCCAGGUUGAAAUUUUGUACACCAUGUUUCCAGAUAAUGAAAAUUAAAAUUGUGUUCAAAAUAAAAAGACCAUUUAACACUCCACUGCAAAAUUAUGACCACAAUUCUAUAAUAAAGACCAUGUUCAUAGGACCUUCUGAAGUUUUCUGAAUAAAUAUAUUAUAAAGCUUCUGAACUGGAAAAAAGCAAUCUACCUACAAGAAAGUCCCUUUGCCUUUUUUUAUCCAUUGUACACCUCAGUUGGCUAAUACCAAAAUACAUACACAAAAAAGCUGCUUAAUUUUUAUUGUGGUUGGAAAGAACACAAAGCACCAGAAGUAAGGACACUGAUAUGGAAGGCUGAUAGUCUGCCUUUUAUUCAUCUUGACAUUAACAAUCUUGACUACUUGCAUUCUUUCAACAUUAAAUUUUCUAAAGUUUAUGCUGAAUAAGAUAUGUAAAUUGCCUGACUGAAAUGAACUCAGACAAAUUCUUAUUUAAACUAUAUCCCCUAAAUCUUCCAUGGGUCCAGUUAGGAUCAUGAAGACUUACACAACUCUUUGUUGCUAAGAAAGCUUGUUGGAUGCUUUUGCCAGCCCUCCAUAACAUAUAUUGAAAUGCACUUUUUUAUGCAGCACAAAUGGAAUGUAAUUCUCCACUACCUUGAAACUUGCAUAUUCAUUUGCACCUGUGCAAAGCAAAUCCUAUUUGUUACCAUUUACACCCAUGCUGCAAAGGUUUAAAUGACUAUGCAAGGCAGUAACGACUCAGGCCUAUGAUCUGUAAUAUCAUACAUUAAUAUGAAACACUUGCAGUAUAGAUAGUGCAUGAAAUAGUGGAGUUAAACACUGAGUGGUGUUAAUUUUGAAUACUUUUGCUGGUGAAUGUUUCAGCCUUAA
This is a long non-coding RNA of Mauremys reevesii (Reeves's turtle), 1914 nucleotides long. RefSeq lists it as uncharacterized. NCBI's taxonomy places the organism in Eukaryota, Metazoa, Chordata, Testudines, Geoemydidae. The record is from RefSeq and is a predicted model, not a curated record. The transcript has 4 exons.